UAGAUACCCUGGUAGUCCACGCUGUAAACGAUGAGUACUAGGUGUCGGGGGUUACCCCCCUCGGUGCCGCAGCUAACGCAUUAAGUACUCCGCCUGGGGAGUACGCACGCAAGUGUGAAACUCAAAGGAAUUGACGGGGACCCGCACAAGUAGCGGAGCAUGUGGUUUAAUUCGAAGCAACGCGAAGAACCUUACCUAAGCUUGACAUCCCUCGGACAGGUGUUUAAUCACACCCUCCUUCGGGACUGAG
This 250-nucleotide ribosomal RNA is filed under the name uncultured bacterium. Its description in RNAcentral is "partial 16S ribosomal RNA". It matches the Rfam family "Bacterial small subunit ribosomal RNA", at positions 779 to 1031 of the family's 1533-position model. The record is from RNAcentral.